GUGGGGAAUAUUGGACAAUGGGCGAAAGCCUGAUCCAGCCAUGCCGCGUGUGUGAAGAAGGUCUUCAGAUUGUAAAGCACUUUAAGUUGGGAGGAAGGGCAGUAAGUUAAUACCUUGCUGUUUUGACGUUACCGACAGAAUAAGCACCGGCUAACUUCGUGCCAGCAGCCGCGGUAAUACGAAGGGUGCAAGCGUUAAUCGGAAUUACUGGGCGUAAAGCGCGCGUAGGUGGUUCAGCAAGUUGAAGGUGAAAUCCCCGGGCUCAACCUGGGAACUGCCUCCAAAACUACUGAGCUAGAGUACGGUAGAGGGUAGUGGAAUUUCCUGUGUAGCGGUGAAAUGCGUAGAUAUAGGAAGGAACACCAGUGGCGAAGGCGACUACCUGGACUGAUACUGACACUGAGGUGCGAAAGCGUGGGGAGCAAACAGGAUUAGAAACCCGAGUAGUCC
This 450-nucleotide ribosomal RNA is filed under the name uncultured bacterium. Its description in RNAcentral is "bacterial SSU rRNA". It matches the Rfam family "Bacterial small subunit ribosomal RNA", at positions 354 to 796 of the family's 1533-position model. The record is from RNAcentral.